UGAAUACGAGACGCUAAGGCGUCGAAGUAGUGUAUGUCAUACUUCCAAGAAAAGCUUGCACUGUCAUAGAUAAAAAACGCCUGUACCAUAACCGACACAGGUGGGUAGGUAGAGUAUACUAAGGGGCGCGAGAUAACUCUCUCUAAGGAACUCGGCAAAAUAACUCCGUAACUUCGGGAGAAGGAGUGCCUUAUUCGUAAGGUUGCAAUAACAAGAUCCAAGCAACUGUUUAUCAAAAACACAGGUCUCCGCUAAGUCGUAAGACGAUGUAUGGGGGCUGACGCCUGCCCAGUGCCAGAAGGUUAAAGAAGUUGGUUAGCAAUUGCGAAGCUGAUAACUGAAGCCCUGGUGAACGGCGGCCGUAACGAUAACGGUCCUAAGUUAGCGAAAUUCCUUGUCGGGUAAGUUCCGACCCGCACGAAAGGCGUAAUGAUUUGGAUACUGUCUCGGAGAGGGGCUCGGUGAAAUAGACUUGUCUGUGAAGAUGCGGACUACCUGCACCAGGACAGAAAGACCCUAUGAAGCUUUACUGUAACUUGAAAUUGAAAUUGGACUUUAUUCGCGCAGUAUAGGUGGGAGGCGUUGAUUAUAAUCUUGUGGGAUUAUUGGAGCCAUCAGUGAGAUACCACUCUUGUAAUGUUAGAUUUCUAACUUUGAAUCAUUAUCUGGUCAAAGAACAGUUUCAGGCGGGCAGUUUGACUGGGGCGGUCGCCUCCUAAACGGUAACGUAGGCGUACAAAGGUUUCCUCUGAACGGUUAGAAAUCGUAUCUAGAGUGUAAAGGCAUAAGGAAGCUUGACUGUGAGACCUACAAGUCGAGCAGGGACGAAAGUCGGUCUUAGUGAUCUGACGGUACUGAGUGGAAAGGCCGUCACUCAACGGAUAAAAGUUACUCUAGGAUAACAGGCUGAUCUCCCCCAAGAGUUCACAUCGACGGGGAGGUUUGGCACCUCGAUGUCGGCUCAUCGCAUCCUGGGGCGGUAGUACGUCCCAAGGGUUGGGCUGUUCGCCCAUGAAAGCGGUACGCGAGCUGGGUUCAGAACGUCGUGAGACAGUUCGGUCCAUAUCCGGUGUAGGCGUUAGAAUAUUGAGAGGAGCCUUCUUUAGUACGAGAGGACCGAGAAGGACAUACCUCUGGUGUACCAGUUAUCGUGCCAACGGUAAACGCUGGGUAGCUAUGUAUGGAGUGGAUAACCGCUGAAAGCAUCUAAGUGGGAAGCCCACCUCAAGAUAAGUAUUCUCAUC
RNAcentral lists this ribosomal RNA (1244 nucleotides) under metagenome. Its description in RNAcentral is "bacterial LSU rRNA". It matches the Rfam family "Bacterial large subunit ribosomal RNA", at positions 1564 to 2818 of the family's 2925-position model. The record is from RNAcentral.